RNAcentral lists this ribosomal RNA (253 nucleotides) under uncultured bacterium. RNAcentral's name for it is "partial 16S ribosomal RNA". It matches the Rfam family "Bacterial small subunit ribosomal RNA", at positions 524 to 776 of the family's 1533-position model. The record is from RNAcentral.
UACGUAGGUGGCAAGCGUUGUCCGGAUUUAUUGGGUUUAAAGGGUGCGUAGGCGGUCUAUUAAGUCAGUGGUGAAAUACUCCAGCUCAACUGGAGGGGUGCCAUUGAUACUGAUGGACUUGAGUGAAGUCGAGGUAGGCGGAAUUGACGGUGUAGCGGUGAAAUGCUUAGAUAUCGUCAAGAACACCAAUAGUGAAGACAGCUUACUAGGCUUAUACUGACGCUGAGGCACGAAAGUGUGGGGAUCAAACAGG